This 652-nucleotide ribosomal RNA is filed under the name uncultured Lachnospiraceae bacterium. RNAcentral describes it as "bacterial SSU rRNA". It matches the Rfam family "Bacterial small subunit ribosomal RNA", at positions 48 to 701 of the family's 1533-position model. Lineage: Bacteria; Bacillati; Bacillota; Clostridia; Lachnospirales; Lachnospiraceae. The record is from RNAcentral.
UUAACACAUGCAAGUCGAACGGGAAUUACUUUAUUGAAACUUCGGUCGAUUUAAUUUAAUUCUAGUGGCGGACGGGUGAGUAACGCGUGGGUAACCUGCCUUAUACAGGGGGAUAACAGUCAGAAAUGGCUGCUAAUACCGCAUAAGCGCACAGAGCUGCAUGGCUCAGUGUGAAAAACUCCGGUGGUAUAAGAUGGACCCGCGUUGGAUUAGCUUGUUGGCGGGGUAACGGCCCACCAAGGCGACGAUCCAUAGCCGGCCUGAGAGGGUGAACGGCCACAUUGGGACUGAGACACGGCCCAGACUCCUACGGGAGGCAGCAGUGGGGAAUAUUGCACAAUGGGGGAAACCCUGAUGCAGCGACGCCGCGUGAAGGAAGAAGUAUCUCGGUAUGUAAACUUCUAUCAGCAGGGAAGAUAGUGACGGCACCUGACUAAGAAGCCCCGGCUAACUACGUGCCAGCAGCCGCGGUAAUACGUAGGGGGCAAGCGUUAUCCGGAUUUACUGGGUGUAAAGGGAGCGUAGACGGUGUGGCAAGUCUGAUGUGAAAGGCAUGGGCUCAACCUGUGGACUGCAUUGGAAACUGUCAUACUUGAGUGCCGGAGGGGUAAGCGGAAUUCCUAGUGUAGCGGUGAAAUGCGUAGAUAUUAGG